CUUUCUUCCUCCAGUCCUUGUCUUAGUGUCCCCUGCUUGUUUCUGGCACCGUCGCUCUGCUUUUCCCCCUUUGGCGCAGUGGGGAAGGAAGGAGGUUCGAGGCGGUCAGGGAUCAUCAGGGUGAUGGAGGAUUGGACUGAGGAGG
Equus asinus (donkey) is the source of this 145-nucleotide microRNA precursor. The record is from Ensembl. NCBI's taxonomy places the organism in Eukaryota, Metazoa, Chordata, Mammalia, Perissodactyla, Equidae.